AUUUAGCAGUGUUCCCUGUGCUGUAUGGACUCAUCACAAUCAGAGCACUCCUUUAAGAAUCCUGACCUUGGAAUCAGACGGUGAGUCGUCCUAUGAGACUUCGCACCUGACUGGGGCCGCUGAGGAGCAUGUCACUGCACGGGGAGGAGGUGUAGCUACCACAUGGCGGGACAGUGUGGAGAGAACGCCCUGGGGGUAUCCCCAGCUUCAUUUACCCCAGAGGCCUACCACAUCUUCCUAUAGACAGUCUUCAAAGUUUCUAGUUCACGGAUGUCACUUCACUCUUAACGAAUGGGGUUUCUGUUCUUUGAACGGACCAAGCUCAGACCACUCUAGACGUUUGAACUACUUCCUCUGUGGGGAAUAUUCUAAGCUUUU
This is a non-coding RNA of Odocoileus virginianus texanus, 378 nucleotides long. The record is from RefSeq and is a predicted model, not a curated record. Lineage: Eukaryota; Metazoa; Chordata; Mammalia; Artiodactyla; Cervidae.